UCAGGUGAAAAGAGGCAAUGCAUGAUGGGCAUGUUUUGACUUCAUUUAUUAUGGUUCAUUAUGGUUGCUGGCAUCACCACUAGAUGGCGACUCUAAGAAAAAGGAGGUGAACAAAGGCGUGGAGGCAGUAGAAAAAGAAGCAAAGCAUGAUGCUUCUGACUGAAGAUGGUGUGCGCGGUGAAGACCUCGGCCCCGGCGACUUGUACAACUCAUACUUACCUGGCAGGGGAGAUACCAUGAUCAAGAAGGUGGUUCACCCAGGGUGAGGCUCAGCCAUUGCACUCCGGUUGUGCUGACCCCUGCGAAUUCCCCAAAUGUGGGAAUCUCGACUGCAUAAUUUCUGGUAGUGGGGGACUGCGUUCGCGCUCUCCCCUGAUUAACAUGUGAAUGAUAAUUAGUCCAUGACCGACAAUUGAUUGUCAGCCAAAAUAUGAAAUGCACUACGUGGUGGCAACUCUAUGGAAAUGAUUACACUUAAAACGGUUCGUUUUGAGUCUACGCUUGCUCUGCUGCUCAUAGCGUUCGGUUUCAACGUCCUUCCCCGACCUGUGUGCACGUUCUCCACUCUGGUUUCCUUCCAUUUCCCCAAAACAUGCAUGAUAGCAUGCAUUGAGCGGCGCGCCAAAUUGCCCGUACGUGCGAGUGCGGACGGUUUUUCGGACGGUUUUUCGUCUCUGUGUGCCCUGCGUUUGACUGGCAAACGUUUUCAAGGUGUCACGCGCCUACCGCCCGAUGACUGCUGGGAUUGGCUCCAGCACGCCCGCGACCCCCCGUGGGGACAAGCGGUACAGAAAAUGGAUCGAUGGACAAUACAAAGUUUUCGUCAUCAGUGCUCACGGCCGGUGGAUGAACUGAAAGGUGUCUACGAUGUAAAAUUGAUGGUUUGGCCACUAUAGGCAUUUUUAAAAGACUCAUGAUGUUAAUUUUCAAUGACGUCGACGCUCAAUCUAAUCUAGCAUAGUCCUUUACUAGUGGUGGUGUGGUGAAUUUGGACAAAGGUUGCCCUCUGGGUAAAAAUGGUACUCUCGCAGAUGACUUCCCGCCGCGGCCCAUGUUUGAGGUAAGACUAUACUUUCAGGGAUCAUUUCUAUAGUUCUUAACUUGAGGAAUGUUUUUCUAAAGUGACGGUCUCGCUAACUACGAUGACGAGAUUGGAUGUUCCCUCCUGAGCGUGAAGCUGGCGUAGGAUAAUGAUUUAUCAUAUGUCCUUCACCUUUGAUGAACGUUCUUUACUUCCUUGUGGAGUAUUGAGGGAGGGAACAUGAUCAGAGUAGUUCUUGAAUAGUGUUAAAUCAAAAUGCGUAGUUACUGUCCACUAUCGUGCAAUGUAUGUCGCUGUUACAACCGCAAUCAUAACAUCGAAGCACUGUGACAAGAUAUGGUCAAUUUUAAUACUCUCUUUUAAUUUUAAGAUAAUUCUUUAACAUUUACUAUGUUAAAGAAUUAUCUUAAAACUAUCCUUUCUCGGCUGGAUGUCUCCCUAAAGUCCGUAUUUCCACUCAUCAAAGGUCUGUCAAACAGUCUUUCAAAUAUUGACAUAUUUCUCAAAAUCAAGAAACAUUUAGGUAUACUAAUGAAAUGUAACUAGGAUCUGAUGGUAUAUGGUCGUAGCUAAUUUCUUUCUUUAACAUUUAUAGGAAGCUCCGCUACAAGAUUGAUGUUUUAAUUUUGUAUUUGCUGGAUUGUAGUUAACGGUCUUGCCGACAUUUGUUAAUCUAGGGGAUACUAAAUCUAAGGCAUUGUAAAACAUAUACAGUCAUAUGAAGCAGUUAAUCUUUAUUUAUUUUUGGACAGAGAGAGGAAGCCCCGCUUUCGCAGAGCAUCAAAAAAUUGGGAUAGACUCUUGUUGUUCCUCCCCACGGAAAUCUUUAGUAAAAGGCGAAAGAUUUAUACGAUCUGAAGAGAAACUAGAGUGAUCUACCGAGUCGGGUAGGAACGGGCCACCCCAUUGCUGGUCUCACCAAAUUAACAGGCGGUCUCACGCUGAAAUUGCAGCAACUAUUCCUUCUAAUACAAACAAUAGACGUUCAUAGAUUUACUUUACUUAGAAGGACUCAACCUAAAUAGACAGUUUUAACGGGUAUUUUGUGUUCAUUAAUGUGUUUUUUCCUUUAAACAUUGUUGGCGCACAGGAUUACGGAUACGUGAUUCACGACGGCGCUCGUUAUUUCAAACAGCGUCACCUAUCGAUUGGGCAACUAUUUUGAGUGUGAGUUUUGAACGUAUAAACAGUUGUAUGUCUUGGUCCGUGUACUUUUGGUAUGAGAGAACGGGAAAUUAUCCGAUUUCCGUGUGUUAUUUUCACAUUUGUAAUUUCAGAUUUUUAUUCAACGCAAAUCGGGAAACAGAAAACGAUCGUAAUUUCUCAAAUGAGUGUUAAGAAAUGCUGGCAUGGAUUGGAAUGCAAUUCACCUCCACUGCGAUGGUGGCGUUCGAGGGCUAAUGUAAUUUGCCACGGCAGGAAAUAAGUAGUAGUUUGGCGAAGUGGGCCGCGUGUUUAUUUGCUGUGGGGUUUUUUUUUCGUCAAAAUGUUCAUCAAACAGCUAUUAUGCUUUCGGUCCCGAAAUGUAUCCAAAGAUCGGAUUGUUUUUGGCGAAUGACUAAUUCGUUUUGUUGGUCAUUAAAAGCUAUUCGCAUCAGGAGCUCAGUUCAUCGUUAUUCUAUUGGGUCAACGUGAACCACGUGACUCUAAACCUUCGUGAACACACGAAAAUCUGCAACCAUUUGAUCGAUGCACAGGUUGAAAACAGCUCAGUGACGCUGACUGUUAAUAGUUGUUGUUUGGGUGGUCGGUACGUGGCAUUAGUAUGAGUCGAUAUAUUCAAACCCUAACUUGAAUUGGUAGUCUCUUUAUUUAAGUAGUUUCCUCAGACCCAACUGUGGUUAUCGCUUCUCGGCCUUUUGGCUAAGAUCAAGUGUAGUAUCUGUUCUUAUCAGUUUAAUAUCUGAUACGUCCCCUAUCCGGGGACCAUAUAUUAAAUUGAUUUUUGGAACAGGGAGAUGGAAUAGGGGCUUGCUCCGUCCACUCCACGCAUCGACCUGGUAUUGCAGUACCUCCAGGAACGGUGCACCCCCUCUACCGGUGAAAGCAAUAGUAGCUUCAUAGAGAAUCCUCUUACCCCGUUAGCUUGACUUACACAGGAUAAAACAGAGUCAUGUCUUGAUGAAUGUGAUUCAAAUUCAUGACGGCUCGAUUUGAGCGGCAGUAAGAAUUUACCCAACCGUUUUAAAAUAUGUCUUACAUUGCUCGAGAUUCUCCUAUCAUUGUUCCAGGAUUAUUUAGUACAAUUCUUGUUCUCAAAAUUUUGAGGAAAUGUCAUUUUCAAAACUUGUUCAGAAAAAGGACAUACAUAUAUUUUUCUGCGGUAAUGUUGGAGAUUUUCAAUAAAUACAAAUUCAUACCGUUUUAGGGUUCUCAGGUGAAAAGAGGCAAUGCAUGAUGGGCAUGUUUUGACUUCAUUUAUUAUGGUUCAUUAUGGUUGCUGGCAUCACCACUAGAUGGCGACUCUAAGAAAAAGGAGGUGAACAAAGGCGUGGAGGCAGUAGAAAAAGAAGCAAAGCAUGAUGAUGGUGUGCGCGGUGAAGACCACGGCCCCGGCGACUCGUACAACUCAUACUUACCUGGCAGGGGAGAUACCAUGAUCAAGAAGGUGGUUCACCCAGGGUGAGGCUCAGCCAUUGCACUCCGGUUGUGCUGACCCCUGCGAAUUCCCCAAAUGUGGGAAUCUCGACUGCAUAAUUUCUGGUAGUGGGGGACUGCGUUCGCGCUCUCCCCUGAUAAAUAUGUAAAUGAUAAUUAGCCAAUGACCGACAAUUCCUUGUCUACGCUUGCUCUGCUGCUCAUAGCGUUCGGUUCCAACUCCCUUCCCCGACCUGUGUGCACGUUCUCCACUCUGGUUUCCUUCCAUUUCCCCAAAACAUGCAUGAUAGCAUGCAUUGAGCGGCGCGCCAAAUUGCCCGUACGCGCGAGUGCGGACGGUUUUUCGUCUCUGUGUGCCCUGCGUUUGACUGGCAAACGUUUUCAAGGUGUCACGCGCCUACCGCCCGAUGACUGCUGGGAUUGGCUCCAGCACGCCCGCGACCCCCCGUGGGGACAAGCGGUACAGAAAAUGGAUCGAUGGACAAUACAAAGUUUUCGUCAUCAGCUCUCACGGCCGGUGGAUGAACUGAAAGGUGUCUACGAUGUAAAAUUGAUGGUUUGGCCACUAUAGGCAUUUUUAAAAGACUCAUGAUGUUAAUUUUCAAUGACGUCGACGCUCAAUCUAAUCUAGCAUAGUCCUUUACUAGUGGUGGUGUGGUGAAUUUGGACAAAGGUUGCCCUCUGGGUAAAAAUGGUACUCUCGCAGAUGACUUCCCGCCGCGGCCCAUGUUUGAGUUAAGACUAUACUUUCAGGGAUCAUUUCUAUAGUUUUUAACUUGAGAAGUGCUUUUCUAAAGUGACGGUCACGCUAACUACGAUGACGAGAAUCGAUGUUCCUUCCUGAGCGUGAAGCUGGCGUAGGAUAAUGAUUUAUCAUAUGUCCUUCACCUUUGAUGAACGUUCUUUACUUCCUUGUGGAGUAUUGAGGGAGGGAACAUGAUCAGAGUAG
Molecule: long non-coding RNA, 4589 nt
Organism: Syngnathus typhle (broad-nosed pipefish)
Lineage: Eukaryota; Metazoa; Chordata; Actinopteri; Syngnathiformes; Syngnathidae
Exons: 3
Source: RefSeq, a predicted model, not a curated record